RNAcentral lists this ribosomal RNA (252 nucleotides) under uncultured bacterium. Its description in RNAcentral is "partial 16S ribosomal RNA". It matches the Rfam family "Bacterial small subunit ribosomal RNA", at positions 524 to 776 of the family's 1533-position model. The record is from RNAcentral.
GACAGAGGUGCCAAGCGUUAGGCGGAAUCACUGGGCUUAAAGCGUGUGUAGGCGGGUCGUUAAGUACCUUGUGAAAUCCCCCGGCUCAACCGGGGAACGGCUGGGUAUACUGGCGAUCUUGAGCCACCUAGGGGCAGUCGGAACAAGUGGUGGAGCGGUGAAAUGCGUAGAUAUCACUUGGAACGCAAUGGUGAAAACAGACUGCUGGGGGUGUGCUGACGCUGAGACACGAAAGCCAGGGGAGCAAACGGG